Molecule: ribosomal RNA, 491 nt
Filed under: uncultured bacterium
Lineage: Bacteria
Description: partial 16S ribosomal RNA
Rfam family: Bacterial small subunit ribosomal RNA
Source: RNAcentral
AGUGAACGCUGGCGGUAGGCCUAACACAUGCAAGUCGAACGGCAGCACAGUAAGAGCUUGCUCUUACGGGUGGCGAGUGGCGGACGGGUGAGGAAUACAUCGGAAUCUACUUUUUCGUGGGGGAUAACGUAGGGAAACUUACGCUAAUACCGCAUACGACCUACGGGUGAAAGCAGGGGAUCUUCGGACCUUGCGCGAUUGAAUGAGCCGAUGUCGGAUUAGCUAGUUGGCGGGGUAAAGGCCCACCAGGGCGACGAUCCGUAGCUGGUCUGAGAGGAUGAUCAGCCACCCGGGAACUGGGACACGGUCCGGACUCCUACGGGAGGCAGCAGUGGGGAAUAUUGGACAAUGGGCGCAAGCCUGAUCCAGCCAUACCGCGUGGGUGAAGAAGGCCUUCGGGUUGUAAAGCCCUUUUGUUGGGAAAGAAAAGCAGCAGGUUAAUACCCCGCUGUUCUGACGGUACCCAAAGAAUAAGCACCGGCUAACUUCGU